GAUGAACGCUAGCGGCAGGCCUAAUACAUGCAAGUCGAACGGCAGCACGGGUAGCAAUACCUGGUGGCGAGUGGCGCACGGGUGCGUAACGCGUAUGUAACCUACCUUAGACUGGAGAAUAGCCCCGAGAAAUCGGGAUUAAUACUCCAUAACAUUAUGAUGUGGCAUCACAUUAUAAUCAAAGCUCCGACGGUCUAAGAUGGGCAUGCGUGACAUUAGCUAGUUGGUGAGGUAACGGCUCACCAAGGCUACGAUGUCUAGGGGUUCUGAGAGGACAUUCCCCCACACUGGUACUGAGACACGGACCAGACUCCUACGGGAGGCAGCAGUAAGGAAUAUUGGUCAAUGGACGCAAGUCUGAACCAGCCAUGCCGCGUGCAGGAUGACGGCCCUAUGGGUUGUAAACUGCUUUUGUACGGGAAAAAACCUUCGGACGUG
Molecule: ribosomal RNA, 438 nt
Filed under: uncultured bacterium
Lineage: Bacteria
Description: bacterial SSU rRNA
Rfam family: Bacterial small subunit ribosomal RNA
Source: RNAcentral